Molecule: ribosomal RNA, 492 nt
Filed under: uncultured bacterium
Lineage: Bacteria
Description: partial 16S ribosomal RNA
Rfam family: Bacterial small subunit ribosomal RNA
Source: RNAcentral
AGUGAACGCUGGCGGUAGGCCUAACACAUGCAAGUCGAACGGCAGCACAGUAAGAGCUUGCUCUUACGGGUGGCGAGUGGCGGACGGGUGAGGAAUACAUCGGAAUCUACUUUUUCGUGGGGGAUAACGUAGGGAAACUUACGCUAAUACCGCAUACGACCUACGGGUGAAAGCAGUGGAUCUUCGGACCUUGCGCGAUUGAAUGAGCCGAUGUCGGAUUAGCUAGUUGGCGGGGUAAAGGCCCACCAAGGCGACGAUCCGUAGCUGGUCUGAGAGGAUGAUCAGCCACACUGGAACUGAGACACGGUCCAGACUCCUACGGGAGGCAGCAGUGGGGAAUAUUGGGCAAUGGGCGCAAGCCUGAUCCAGCCAUACCGCGUGAGUGAAGAAGGCCUUCGGGUUGUAAAGCCCUUUUGUUGGGAAAGAAAAGCAGCAGGUUAAUACCCCGCUGUUCUGACGGUACCCAAAGAAUAAGCACCGGCUAACUUCGUG